RNAcentral lists this long non-coding RNA (1390 nucleotides) under Lepisosteus oculatus (spotted gar). RNAcentral's name for it is "lncRNA (ENSLOCG00000022865.1)". Lineage: Eukaryota; Metazoa; Chordata; Actinopteri; Semionotiformes; Lepisosteidae. The record is from RNAcentral.
UGUGACUUGUAUCGUAGGUACAGUAGGUGGCGUGAUAGCUCACAUCCAAUUACAUUGUUCUUCCGUAUCCCACUGUACGGUAUGUCGUUAUAAGUUGUUGCAUGUGUUACAGUUUCAUUUAUUUAUUUUGAUUUUUUCCAGGCUGUAUCGCUUUCUAUUGACAAACACUGUGGUUAAUUACUCUUAACGUUUCCUGCUGUUUACAGUACUUUAGUAGAUGAUGCAUAUUUUACAAUUCAUUUGCGUCUUUCAUUCUGUUUGGCUUUGCUCUGCAAUAAAAGAGAUAUUAACCACUUACACCUGUGAAAGUGGCAUCAGGACCCAGGUUGCUUCCUGGACCGAUUCCAGAAGAGAAUGUCAUCAAACAUGGACCAUGGCUAAGAACAACCAAGUUAUUGGGGAAUAUGAGGAAAAUGGGCAACCAGGAUGCAUCCUUCCAUGUAAAGACCUACAGUCAGGAAAAAUUAAGAUAGAUGAUUGCGUGGAUCUGGAACUUACAGUGGUCUGCACUUCAGAUGAACCCAACUCUGACAAGGUAAAGACAAUUUAUGUAUGUAAACGUAAUCUACUGUAUGCACUUAUGUAUCAUGUUCUACAUACUCUAUAGGUGUGAUAUACUGUAAUAAUUUACUAUCCUGCUUUAUAAUGAUAUAAAUAAUCUUUUUAAAAAUAAAACUAAGUUCGUCUGAAUGGUAAAUUCAUUGGUUUUAGUGAAAAGGGAAUAGUAAGGAUGUUUAUCUUAAAAAAUGAUAUAUUCAUGUUUUUUUUUUUCAGGUGGAGGAAACACAUGUGUUAUUUCGUGGUAUGUAUUUUUCUUGGUGGGAGGUGGUGUUUGCUCUGCAGUAGUUGCCAGUGGUUAAUCCAUGUUUGGUUACUACAGUAUAUGUACAGUAGUUACAAUCCACACUUUAUAUCAGACCAAAAUCAGGUCGAAAACUGUUGUGCAGUGUUGGAUCAGCCACACUGCCAGAAUGUGUAGCACAGAGGUGUCGCUCACUGGUAUACCAUGUGUCUUGGAGUUCAGCUGUACAAAUGAAAAGAUAAUGUUAUUUAGAUUGCCUAACACGUGGCUGAAUACAAUUUUGGUCUAAUCCACACUUCUCACAGAAGAAUAAUGUGGUUUCAAACAGUUUAGUGAAUAUAAAAAAAAAAUCCCUAAGAAUUGAGGGAUGUACCGUAUGUAAGAAACCACAAAAAGCUUGUUAUAAAUACAGAGGAUUCCUAUAAAAUAUUACAUCAUGUAGCAUGUGAAACUGUCUGUACCUCAUUUUCUUUCCACUGUAUAAUUUUUCAAGAAGUUUGUCUAAAAAAUGUAGGGCAAUUGAGGGCUUCUCAAAAUGUACUUUUCUUGUCAUAUUAAUAUAAAUCAAUAUAAGUAUAAUACUUAAAG